Molecule: long non-coding RNA, 411 nt
Organism: Thalassophryne amazonica
Lineage: Eukaryota; Metazoa; Chordata; Actinopteri; Batrachoidiformes; Batrachoididae
Exons: 2
Source: RefSeq, a predicted model, not a curated record
UGUGACUACGCACUAAUGAUCAUAAGUUUAUAAGAAACUAAAUUCAUUCAGAAUCAAACAUCAUGAACAUGAUCAAGGUCACAGUUAGGAUCAAAGGCGAGUGUUCCGGUUAAAUAUUCAACAACCAGGAUCCAAGGUCAAUAAUCAGAGUCCAAGAUGAGGAUCUAAACACAGCCAGGAUCAAAGGUCAAGAACAUGAUCAAAGGUGAGUGGAUCAAAUAUGAGUUAUCAGCAACAAAAACCAGGAUCAAAGAUGAUUGGUUAGGAUCACAGGUCAACUUUUAGAAACAAAGGUGAGCAGUCAGGAUCAAUAUAUGGUCCUCCAGAGUGGACUCAGGAUUGGACUUUGGUUUGAGGUUUAAAUUAAAUUCCAAUGGACUGUGGAGCCUUGGAGCUGGUUUGCUUUCCUUU